UUCUUGUCUAUUGUUUUAGGGCACAAUCCAGUGAGGGGAUCUCUGCUCUCAAGCUCUUGCUGGUCCCUUGUUACCUCUGCAGUUUGUGUUGCGGUUUGAGUUCCCCUCUCAAUCCCCAGGACGAUUUGCCCUUGUUCUUCACAGCCAACGCCCAGCCUGGUGAUCAUACCCACCGAAACCAACACCUCGCUAUGGCCAAAGCGUUCCAGUGAGUUGCAUGCCCGUGUAGUCUUCGUUCCGUGGUCUUCAAAGGUUAGUGAAGCAUUGGUAUUGCUGCUGUGUAAAAAAAUGGAUAAAACGUCUCAAAACUUUCACUGACAGGUAUAUGGUUUCAGUCAGCUGAAACAGAAUUUUAUGUGUUCUCAACCCAUUUUUGGAGCACUAUAACUCUUGAUCCAUGAAUCUUUGACCUAAGGUUGCUGCAGCAAACUUGUACAGUUAUGUUUGGUAAACAAAUUUUGUUAGUCAAGGUUGGCCUAUUAUUGUUUGGAAUUGUGAGGAGUAAUAGAGUUAAAGGUGGGGGUUCAGUUUGGUGUAGAGUUCAGUUUCAGAAUCUAAAACGUAAUUCAGUUUGCUGAAUUUUUAGAAACCGUGAAUUCCUCUCAGUUUUGGACCCUUCUAAGUCUCAAUUCUUGAAGUUUUGGUGGAUGAUCAUUGCAUUAAACUUGAAGAUCUAAUAUUGAGGAGCAAUUUCUUUUAAGAAGGAUCUCCCUAUCCUUGCUUUGAAUUGAGAGAAAAGGUUAUUCCAAGUUGCUGUGUUAGGUAGAGGGUGCUGAAUUUAGUUCAGUUAGCUGAAUUGUGUAGUUUAGUGGAGUUCCAACUUUGGAGCUCUCUAACCUGAAGUCUGUUGAGUUUUAGCUAGUAUCCUUUAAAGAAAAGUUGGAGAGUGAUCAUAGAAGAGCGACUCCUAGUAAGAAAGUGUAUCAAGCCAGCAUAGGGAAAUGAGAGAAAAUCUGAUUGGAAGUUCUAGGUUUAGGCUUGGUACAGUGAUUUGAGCACAGUUUAAAAUUCAGAUUGGGAGCAGAACGAUCCUCACGCCUAUGUUGUGUUCCAAUGUGUCAAUCCAAGCUGAGGCUGAGGUUUGUUAUUGGAAAAACAAGUAGUUGAAGGGGAUUAUAAGCCGAUCCUUAACUGGGCAAAUGGAGACUGGACCGGUUUCAGAUUGGGCAGAGGGGGCCGGCAUGCUCAGGCUACAAGUCGGCUGAAGCCUAUUUGCUACUUCAGGUUUGGUUGGCGCUGGUUAAAAAAAAUCAGCUGCCUAUCCCAACCCAGCUCCAGCUAUCCAUGAGCCAUCAAAAUGUGGCCAUAUACCUGCUUGUGUUGUGCAGUUUCUGCUGUUGCCACGUACAAGAGCUACCACACAGCUGCUGGCAUCGUAUGCCAAAACCUUUCUCUGUCGUGAUAUGCAUCAACGCAGCAAAGUGCUCCUUCCUUUUUCCAUUGCUGUGUUCCCUGUUCCCAGUGAGAACUUUCGGUGUUCUAGCGCUCUAGCCCCGGCAUCACUAGCCUCGACCUCGCGCUCUGCCCAGCAGCCCACCUCGUCGCUUGCCUCUUCGUCCAUUGGUCGCUGUCCACAGAAAAGAAUCCCCAUCGCCAGGAGCCCUGUUUGUAUCUCCACUUAAAGCUAGCGUCCAUGUUAGGGCUUGUUCGCUUUCUUCUCAAUCCAUGUGGAUUGGGUGGGGUUAGAUGUGUUUAAAUCCCGAACAAGUCAAAAUCCUUCAUAUUUUUUUUCAAUCUCAUCCAAUCCAUAUAGGAUAGGAAUAACCGAACAAGCCCUUAGGGUGAGGUAGGAAUGGUUUUUAGGCUAGAAAUACUUUCAUACGUUUAUUGUUCUACAAAACUUCUAGGAUUGUAAUUUGAUGCGGUUUUUAGUCAAGAAAUUCGGGUGGCCAGCUCCAUCGUUCUGCGUUUGUGUAGAGUAUUGAAGUUCAGUAAGUAACUUCAUGGUAGUUAUAGCUUGUAAUUGUAAUUUUGUAAUGCUUAGUAAUACCUUCCUUGUUAGUAGCAUAUACACAGGCAUUCAUAAUCAUGGCAUUUCAUGUAGAGUACCAAGGAGAAGUGAUUUGCGAAGGAGGAGUCUGUUCCAGUUCUGCUGAUCCAGUGGUGGAUUCAUCUAACUGCUUAUCGUGUUAGAAGAUCUCAGAUCUCCUCCUGUAAUAAGGCAAGCCCCGGUGCAUUUGCUCCUUUCUUGUAUUUUUAAAUGACUUUUAUACACUUUAAGUCUAGUGAAAUGUGUAUUAAGUUUAUAGAAGUUGCUUGGAAACUAUUUGAUACAUUGCCUACCUUGAUAUCCAUGCCUUUAUAGAUACUUCUGAUGGAGUAUCAAAAUAUGAUUUACAAAAAUGCUUAGCCCUGCUUAGAUCUUGUAGAUAGAGUUUGUCCUUUGCACUAAUGCCUAGCUCAGGUUUAUCCUGAGAAAGGAUGACUUCUACCUGCAAGAAUAUUUUCAUUGGGAGUAUGGUGGGAUCUUACUGCAAAGUUCCCUAUAAUGCUCUUUUCAUCCUUAGGAACACAAAACAAUCCAAAGGGUGGAAGUACUUAACUCGAGACUUGGGCUAGGAACAGGUGAUGCUCCACCCAGGUUAAUUAAGGAUUGGAUGCGUAUGUAGGCCUGUAUGAUCAAGGACUAUCUUAACUGGCCACAUGCCCUAGAUAUGGGACAGGGUAAGCUUGAACCCGACUAUUCCAUACGUGAAAAUACAACCGCGCACUGGGCGUGUGAGAUGGUGGGAGUAGCGUGUACCCUCCUGGCUAGAGGCUGGACGGAGGAGUACUGUGCUCCCGGGUAGCGCAGACCGGUUCAUGUUGUGGAGGAUCUGUGGGAAUGGUUGACAUAUGCAAGGGUUAAGUGCUACAUAUGUCGUGUGGUUAGAGAUCCUCAGCUGAGUAAAUCGAUUCAGAUUGCCGUUAUAUCCCCGGACAGUGGAGACUUGAUCUCUGACAUGCAACCUAAGUCAGGAUGUAAACAUUAUGAAUAAAAUGAUGUUGUAUUGAUGAGAUGGUGAAACUAGACUAGAUGCAACUAGAGUCUAUUAAUAUUUAAUCUGGCAUUAAAAUAUUGAAAGUAAGGACUCACUUUAGUAAGCUAUUUCUGCAAAAGUAUCUAAGUUGAUUCUUGCUAAAGCCUUUUCCUUGAUUCCUAUUUAACCAACAUAUCCUUGAGAGUCAUUUUUCCUUAGUCGGGUAAGACUUGCGAAAGUACACUUCGUACUCAGGGUUUUUGAACUCAUGUUGUUGUAGGUGAUGAGGAGUAUUCUAGGAGUUCCUAUGGCUAGAGGGCGUUUCCAGUUCUGGAGAAAGAUUAGUUAGGCUUGUGUAUAAGCUUUGGAGGGUUUCUACCUUCUUGCUAUUGUAAUAAGUUAUGCACUUUGAGUAUAUCAGGACUUGUAAUAAAUGUAACUCUUCCUAUGUAAUGACCUUCAGUUUUAGAAAUGAAAAGAAUAUUUUGUAAAGUCUUCCGCUCUUAUCUCCGAAGUGUGUGUGUCGAAUGUGAUUACUGUAAUAUACAUGAAUGUGGGAGAUCCUUGGGAUGAUGAGUUCAAGUUGUUGAACUCGUGAUAGCCUUGUUAAGUUACCUGGUACACGUGCAUAGCCAUCUGAGGCCAUCAAGGCAAGGAUUGGUGCAUGUGGACCCGAUAACUUGGGAGGGCCGUCACACUUAUCUUGAUCAUUUUCAUCUCCCCCUUGAUCAAUGUCCUCCUCUUGAGGUGGCUCAUCAUCUUGAUCUUCAUCCUUUUCUUCUUGAGCCAUUUUCUCAUCUUGAGUUGGUGGAGAUGCUUGUAUGGAAGAUGAUGGUUGAUCUUGUGCUUGUGAAGGCUCUUCGGAUUCUUUUGGACACACAUCCCCAAUGGACAUGUUACAUAGCGUGACGCAUGGAG
Molecule: long non-coding RNA, 3878 nt
Filed under: Zea mays
Lineage: Eukaryota; Viridiplantae; Streptophyta; Magnoliopsida; Poales; Poaceae
Description: long non-coding RNA (ZMAY_LNC003930)
Source: RNAcentral